GAAGAUGACGAGCGGCGGACGGGUGAGUAAUGCCUGGGAAUUUGCCCAUUUGUGGGGGAUAACAGUUGGAAACGACUGCUAAUACCGCAUACGCCCUACGGGGGAAAGCAGGGGACCUUCGGGCCUUGCGCUGAUGGAUAAGCCCAGGUGGGAUUAGCUAGUAGGUGAGGUAAAGGCUCACCUAGGCGACGAUCCCUAGCUGGUCUGAGAGGAUGAUCAGCCACACUGGGACUGAGACACGGCCCAGACUCCUACGGGAGGCAGCAGUGGGGAAUAUUGCACAAUGGGGGAAACCCUGAUGCAGCCAUGCCGCGUGUGUGAAGAAGGCCUUCGGGUUGUAAAGCACUUUCAGCGAGGAGGAAAGGGUGUAAGUUAAUACCUUACAUCUGUGACGUUACUCGCAGAAGAAGCACCGGCUAACUCCGUGCCAGCAGCCGCGGUAAUACGGAGGGUGCGAGCGUUAAUCGGAAUUACUGGGCGUAAAGCGUGCGCAGGCGGUUUGUUAAGCGAGAUGUGAAAGCCCCGGGCUCAACCUGGGAACCGCAUUUCGAACUGGCAAACUAGAGUCUUGUAGAGGGGGGUAGAAUUCCAG
Molecule: ribosomal RNA, 592 nt
Filed under: Shewanella algae
Lineage: Bacteria; Pseudomonadati; Pseudomonadota; Gammaproteobacteria; Alteromonadales; Shewanellaceae
Description: bacterial SSU rRNA
Rfam family: Bacterial small subunit ribosomal RNA
Source: RNAcentral